AGAAAACUAGGCCGGAUAGUCGCGAACCGGAUACUCGAGAGUGUACUGUAUACAAGAUCAUCUGGAUAGGCUGAAUCAAGUAAUUCAGAAAUGGUUUUAGUCACGUCAAGCUGUUUGUUAAUGGAUGAUUACAACAUUAGAAUUGGCCUUUUAUUGGUUUCAAAUUAUUAUGGAUCAAACAGAAGGUUUGGUAAUGUUAGAAUAUCUCAGGAUUUGGUGGAUAAUUGUCAAGAGAUAGAACUACUAGAUUUUAUGGCUAGAGGUAAUUUGUUUAUAGGAAUGGUCGUUUCCCAGAUCGGAA
RNAcentral lists this long non-coding RNA (301 nucleotides) under Androctonus crassicauda. The record is from RNAcentral. Lineage: Eukaryota; Metazoa; Arthropoda; Arachnida; Scorpiones; Buthidae.